AGCUCGACGGAGACUUCGUGUUUGGCCAUCCCGACGCUCUUCUCCUGAUAACCGAAAAUCCACUAACGCCUCAAACGGGGGAAGCGUAGUGGGAUCAACCAAGGAAGUUUCCCAAGCGAGUCUCGUGGUUUGAUCCAGCUUUUCGGUGAGGAGGAACGAAAACCAUUCGUCCCACGACUCCACCGGUCGCUCCAAAGAGGCGAGUGCAUUCCUUGACUGGCGGAAUUCGUCGAGGAUCCUUUUAAUUUCCUGAGAGGACGCCUUUACUAUGGGAGCACAGGUGAGGAUGCGACGCAUGUGUGAGGCCGCUAAGAUCCUUUUAUUACCGUAGCGACGCUCCAGGGACGCCCACGAUGCCUCGUAAUUACCGUCCGUCAUCGGAGUGCAGGAGAUCCCCAGAAAACGUGGGCAGCGAGAUCGUGGGUAAAGUCGGUUCGCCUGACGACGCUUUGCCGGAAGAAUUCUCGUCUCCUGGCUUAUUCCGGUCUGGGGCGAGUAGGGCAAUCCUCUCCUCCAAGUCCACGACGUGCGAAAGGUAAGUACC
Molecule: long non-coding RNA, 544 nt
Organism: Osmia bicornis bicornis
Lineage: Eukaryota; Metazoa; Arthropoda; Insecta; Hymenoptera; Megachilidae
Exons: 3
Source: RefSeq, a predicted model, not a curated record